This is a long non-coding RNA of Lemur catta (Ring-tailed lemur), 561 nucleotides long. RefSeq lists it as uncharacterized. The record is from RefSeq and is a predicted model, not a curated record. NCBI's taxonomy places the organism in Eukaryota, Metazoa, Chordata, Mammalia, Primates, Lemuridae. The transcript is spliced from 3 exons.
CACGGGGGCAAACAGGGGGCCGUGCCCUGCGGCGGCCCUUGGCAUGGGAGGGCCCUGGGGAGCUGCUCCUUUCUUCUUGUGGGGCCUGAGACUGGAGUAGCCCCAGCCAAGCACGUAGCUGACAGUGCCAGAGGCUGUUUCUGGCCACUCGACUCUCAAGGUUUCUGGGCUGCCAGGUGUCUACGUGUGAGGAAGCCUGCACAUUUACACGGCUGCAUGAUCCUAGCAUGUGAACUAUCCACUCAGACCACCGCCUCCAGUGGAAACUACAUCUAGAGACUACAUACUUACAAGAGGAGGAACCUUCUGCUUCCUAUGUUUAAAUGCAUGCUCCACACCAUUCUACUUUUAUCUGGGUCAUUGGAGCUGUGGUGUCAGAUGUCGCCUGACCAGCCUAUUUAGUGUCGGACCACUUUGGUAGUUUUGCCUGUUACCAACCAACUUUUGGAAAGGUAAGAUGGGGUGGGGAAGAUGAAUAAGAAAUUUAGGGAAUUUUAGUAAUUAUUACACAUUAUCCAUGUCUGCAAGUGAACCCUAAACAAUUAGAUCUUAAGAACAGUU